This 21-nucleotide transfer RNA is filed under the name Scarus hypselopterus (yellow-tail parrotfish). RNAcentral's name for it is "partial tRNA-Phe". Lineage: Eukaryota; Metazoa; Chordata; Actinopteri; Labriformes; Labridae. The record is from RNAcentral.
CCCUAAAAAGUCCCGACAGCA